This 1150-nucleotide long non-coding RNA is filed under the name Homo sapiens (human). Its description in RNAcentral is "long non-coding RNA NONHSAT172573.1". Lineage: Eukaryota; Metazoa; Chordata; Mammalia; Primates; Hominidae. The record is from RNAcentral.
UGGCUAUAGACCAGGCUAUGUGGGGGCCGUCAAACCCCAGAAGCCAGGAUUCCAGUACAGAAUUGGGCUGGGAGCCCAGCCAGGUGAAGGGGGUACAGUCUGGGGUUCCAGGGUCUGCAUCUGGGCGGCCUCUUCCUCCCAGGGGCGGGAUUGGUGAAUGAUGGAGAGGGGUGACGGGGCGUCUCCAAGAUCCUUGGCUUCUGGCUUGGCCCUGAAGGGGAACCAUAGGCGCUGUGUCCCCAGCUUAGCUCAGCCCUCCCACCCCGACAAGCCCCCCACCUCAGAAUGGCCCUGGAGCAGGUCCUGAGGGGGAUGGGAGGAGCUGGGGUCCAGAUGCUGGGGUUCUGGGGUGGAUCUGAGUUGGGGGCUCCUAGGUACCUCAUCUGCUCCCCAUUUUCCCAAAGGCUUUAGAGGGGACAUGAAGGCACAGGAGCCAGGCUUGACAGCCCAGAACCGAUUUGGAUUUGGAGCAGGCCUUGGAGGGAAUGUGAAGCCUCUGAAGCCAGGAUAUGGGAAAAGGCUGAGAGCAGGGGCCUUCCCUGGGGCUGGAACCCAGCCAGGAUAUGGCCAUGGAAAUGGACCGGGAGUCCAGCCAGGCCUAGGAGCGGGGAUGAAGCCUCAGAUGCCAGGCCUGGGAGCUCCAAACGGCUAUGGACCAGGAAGGGGCAGGGCUGGGGUUCCAGGAGGUCUAUUUGGGGGUUAUGAAGGCCCAGAAGCCAGGUGCUGGAGAGGGCAUGAAACCUCAGAAGCCAGGCCUGCGAGGGACCUUGAAGCCUCAGAAGUCAGGACACGGCCAUGAAAAUGGGCCCUGGCCAGGUCCCUGCAAUGCGAGGGUCGCUCCGAUGCUCCUCCCCAGGUCGGACAAAGAGGGUGGCUGGGGCCUGAAAUCCCAGCCCCCUUCCGCAGUGCAGAAUGGCAAGUUACCAGGGCACCAGCCUCCAAAUGGCUAUGGACCGGGAGCAGAACCAGGUUUUAAUGGUGGCCUCGAGCCACAGAAAAUUGGGCAGGCCGGGGUGCUGUGGAACUCUCGCUGGCCCACCCUCCAGGCCUGGGGGGCCGGCUUGAAGCCUGGAUAUCAGGCUGGAGAUGAAUAUGCUGAGGCCAGGAGCCAGCCAGGGGGCCCCGACGUGAAGAGAGGCAGCAAUGGCCA